GAGGGUACAGCUCAGUGGUAGAGUGCAUGCCUAGCACGCACAAGGUCCUGAGUUCAAUCCCCAGUACCUCCA
RNAcentral lists this transfer RNA (72 nucleotides) under Camelus bactrianus (Bactrian camel). It matches the Rfam family "tRNA". Rfam says of the family: Transfer RNA (tRNA) molecules are approximately 80 nucleotides in length. Their secondary structure includes four short double-helical elements and three loops (D, anti-codon, and T loops). The record is from Rfam by way of RNAcentral. Lineage: Eukaryota; Metazoa; Chordata; Mammalia; Artiodactyla; Camelidae. RNAcentral also lists the same sequence under 1 other name.